Rosa rugosa (rugosa rose) is the source of this 520-nucleotide long non-coding RNA. RefSeq lists it as uncharacterized. The record is from RefSeq and is a predicted model, not a curated record. NCBI's taxonomy places the organism in Eukaryota, Viridiplantae, Streptophyta, Magnoliopsida, Rosales, Rosaceae. The transcript is spliced from 3 exons.
ACUUCAAGGACAGGGAUAGAUAUGUACAAGGGGACUUCCGAUUCAGACGCGGAUACUGCAAGAACAAUCCCAGGAAAAUGAUGAAGACAUGGGCUGAGAAAGAAAUGAGGAAUCUGAAGAGGUGGGCAUGCUCCAGGAUGGCAAGAUGUGCAUCCUCAUGAUCCUCAAGUUCAUGAUGCAGCCAACCAUGUUGUGAAGAGCCUUCAACAAAAGUCCAAUUCAUUGUUCCCUUAUGAGCUUCAAGAGAUUGUCCAUGCUAAGGCAGAGAUCAUAUUGUUCAAAUAAAGGAUGGUGCAUAGUUGGUGCUGGGAAGGCAGGUGGAGAGCUAGAUUUGAUCCCACAUCCCACCACUUCCUGAUAUUAGUCUUGAUUUCUCUCAAGUAUUAUGUACCAAUUCAUUAUCAAAGAUUCAAAGUACUAGGUCGAUCAUUUUACUUUUGGGUUUAGUGAACAUAUGCCACUUUGGCUUUUAGGUUUCAUGAUUUUGUGGAACAAUGACUAAUAUGAAUGCAUCUUGGUG